This 1493-nucleotide long non-coding RNA is filed under the name Oreochromis niloticus (Nile tilapia). RNAcentral's name for it is "lncRNA (ENSONIG00000034468.1)". Lineage: Eukaryota; Metazoa; Chordata; Actinopteri; Cichliformes; Cichlidae. The record is from RNAcentral.
UAACACAAGAGUCCUCUGAGAAGCCAUGUAAACAAACAUGUUUGUUUCCUUUAAAUUUAAGCCAUAACCUUUUAGUUUUGAUUUCUGUUACCUUAUUAUUGUUGUUCAAAUCUAAAUAUACUGUUACUUACUAACAACUAGAUAGGGAUCAUCUAGCCAUCAAGUCAGUUCUGUAAGUUUCUGAAAGAUUUUGGUGUUCAUGUCAUGAUGACUCCACUGCUGUCCAAGUCAAUCAUACAUCAUAUAUGGUAAAUGGACUGAUUAUUAUAUAGCGAUAUUCUACUCUGAGCAGUCAAAGUGCUUUAUACAAUUUGCUUCUUUCACUCAUUCACAUGAGUACUUUUUUUCUAUGCUUUUUCUACGUAAGUGCUUUAUAUCUAACAUUCACACACAUUCAUACUCCGAUGGAUGGAUCGGAGAGUUGGUAUCCUGUCCAGGGAUAUUUGGUGUCAUGGUCCUGGGUCGUUGACCCAGCGUUUUGUGUUGUAUGAUUAUUUUCCUCUGUUCUGGUUAUUCGGAUUUUGGUAUUCUGUAUCCUCCCCUUGUGCCCUGUUCAUGUUCAGCUUGUAUCCUCAGGUACGGUGUACAUUUUAGGACAUCGUCAGGUCUCAGGAAAAAAGUUGUCAGGUAUCAGUCUCACACGAAAAAUUGUCAGGUCUCAGGAAAAAAGUUGUCAGGUCUCAGGAAAAAAGGUGUCAGGUCUCAGGAAAAAAGUUGUCAGGUAUCAGUCUCACACGAAAAAUUGUCAGGUCUCAGAAUCACACGAAAAAAUGUCGUGUGAUUCUGAGACCUGACAUUUUUUCGUGUGAGUCUGAGACCUGACAUUUUUUCAUGUGAGACUGAUACCUGACAACUUUUUUCCUGAGACCUGACAACUUUUUCGUGUGAGACUGAUACCUGACAACUUUUUUCCUGAGACCUGACGAUGUCCUAAAAUGUACACCGUACUCAGGUCGUCUUGUGUAUUAGAAUCAGCUGUGCUCCCACCUGUAUGUCAUUACCUGGUCUCCUUGUUUGCGGCUGUGUAUAUAUAGUGGGUGUCAGUCUGUGCCUGUUGUCGGCUCGUCUGUGUAGUCUGCGUUCUUCUGUGUACCUCUGCGUCUCUCUGCAUUCUCCGUUUCGUAUUACUUCAGGUUUGCUCUUUAGUUUAUCCCAGUUUAGGUCUGCUUCAGUAACUGCUCAUACUUUAUUGCCCGUUUUUGUCACCCUGCCACUGUGUAAAUAAACUCACUCAUAUCAUCAGUCGGCUGCCUGCAUUUUGGGUCCUCCUUCCAUUCCACCACACGACUGCUGCCCCAGCCGUGACAUUUGGCAUGCAGACCGGAGCAGCCAGGGAUCGAACCACCAACCUUCUGAUUGAUAAAUGACCCGCUCUACUUCCUGAGCUGCAAGCCAGAAAAAGUAAUAGACGAAACAUAGUUUAGAGCGGCUGACAUAUUAGAAUAAAUAAUCCCACAAUCCACACUCUACAUCAAGAGAAGAUGAGCCAAAAC